RNAcentral lists this long non-coding RNA (312 nucleotides) under Numida meleagris (helmeted guineafowl). Its description in RNAcentral is "lncRNA (ENSNMEG00000014712.1)". Lineage: Eukaryota; Metazoa; Chordata; Aves; Galliformes; Numididae. The record is from RNAcentral.
AUGGCAAGGUCUAGAGUGACUCCAGCUGUUGCUGCGUGGAUUAAUGGCACUCAUCUGAGCACUGCAUCCAGGAGCACAGUUUGCACUUUGCCCCUGUGUCCCAGCUUUUGCAGGCUUUGUCUGUGUGAGCCCCACUCAGGAACUGCUGGAAGGAAUUCAAGGACAGAGGCAGAAAGGGCUACCAAUGUGCAUCCUCAGAACUAUUCCCCGGGAUUCGCUGCCAGGAUCCCAUGGAGCCCAUGGCAUGUUCAGCUCCUGCACUGGCAACAUGGACUUGUACCUGCGGUGCUGAAGGUCUGCUCCUGGCACUAG